Molecule: ribosomal RNA, 448 nt
Filed under: uncultured bacterium
Lineage: Bacteria
Description: partial 16S ribosomal RNA
Rfam family: Bacterial small subunit ribosomal RNA
Source: RNAcentral
CCCAGACUCCUACGGGAGGCAGCAGUGGGGGAUAUUGCACAAUGGGGGGAACCCUGAUGCAGCGACGCCGCGUGGGUGAAGGAGCGUUUCGGCGCGUAAAGCCCUCUCGGCAGGGAAGAAGGAGGACGGUACCUGACUAAGAAGCCCCGGCUAACUACGUGCCAGCAGCCGCGGUAAUACGUAGGGGGCAAGCGUUAUCCGGAUUUACUGGGUGUAAAGGGGGCGCAGACGGCAGCGCAAGCCAGGAGUGAAAGCCCGGGGCCCAACCCCGGGACUGCUCUUGGAACUGCGCGGCUGGAGUGCAGGAGGGGCAGGCGGAAUUCCUGGUGUAGCGGUGAAAUGCGUAGAUAUCAGGAGGAACACCGGUGGCGAAGGCGGCCUGCUGGACUGCAACUGACGUUGAGGCCCGAAAGCGUGGGGAGCAAACAGGAUUAGAUACCCGCGUAGA